AGACCAAAUAUUGGCAAAAGAAUCAUAAUUGUUACUGGGAUAUACAUAAAUAUUAUUGGAAUGAUUGUUUGGAUCACUAAAGUUUUGAAAAGUUGUUUUUGCAGUUCUUUG
Non-coding RNA from Caenorhabditis elegans, 111 nucleotides. The record is from Ensembl. Lineage: Eukaryota; Metazoa; Nematoda; Chromadorea; Rhabditida; Rhabditidae.